RNAcentral lists this ribosomal RNA (680 nucleotides) under Bacillus thuringiensis. RNAcentral's name for it is "bacterial SSU rRNA". It matches the Rfam family "Bacterial small subunit ribosomal RNA", at positions 103 to 771 of the family's 1533-position model. Lineage: Bacteria; Bacillati; Bacillota; Bacilli; Caryophanales; Bacillaceae. The record is from RNAcentral.
CGGGUGAGUAACACGUGGGUAACCUGCCCAUAAGACUGGGAUAACUCCGGGAAACCGGGGCUAAUACCGGAUAACAUUUUGAACUGCAUGGUUCGAAAUUGAAAGGCGGCUUCGGCUGUCACUUAUGGAUGGACCCGCGUCGCAUUAGCUAGUUGUGAGGUAACGGCUCACCAAGGCAACGAUGCGUAGCCGACCUGAGAGGGUGAUCGGCCACACUGGGACUGAGACACGGCCCAGACUCCUACGGGAGGCAGCAGUAGGGAUCUUCCGCAAUGGACGAAAGUCUGACGGAGCAACGCCGCGUGAGUGAUGAAGGCUUUCGGGUCGUAAAACUCUGUUGUUAGGGAAGAACAAGUGCUAGUUGAAUAAGCUGGCACCUUGACGGUACCUAACCAGAAAGCACGGCUAACUACGUGCCAGCAGCCGCGGUAAUACGUAGGUGGCAAGCGUUAUCCGGAAUUAUUGGGCGUAAAGCGCGCGCAGGUGGUUUCUUAAGUCUGAUGUGAAAGCCCACGGCUCAACCGUGGAGGGUCAUUGGAAACUGGGAGACUUGAGUGCAGAAGAGGAAAGUGGAAUUCCAUGUGUAGCGGUGAAAUGCGUAGAGAUAUGGAGGAACACCAGUGGCGAAGGCGACUUUCUGGUCUGUAACUGACACUGAGGCGCGUAGUUAUGACUCUCCC